This is a long non-coding RNA of Hydra vulgaris (swiftwater hydra), 4843 nucleotides long. RefSeq lists it as uncharacterized. NCBI's taxonomy places the organism in Eukaryota, Metazoa, Cnidaria, Hydrozoa, Anthoathecata, Hydridae. The record is from RefSeq and is a predicted model, not a curated record.
UGUAAACCACAAAUCUUUAGUUUACUAAAUUUAAAGUUGCAAAACUAACUUUUUUUAAAGUUGCAAAACUAACUUUACUUUUAAAGUUAGUUUUGCAACUUUACAAGGGGUAGUAAUUGUUUUAAGGAAUUUUGUAAUGAAUCUUUUGUGUGGAUUUCACCAAUCUUACCUGUUUUUCCAUCAUUGAGUCCUACUCCAAGUAGUUUUUUUACUACUGUUUGAAGAAGUUUAGAUAAUUUAUCACUUGAGCACAUAAGUAAUUUAUCACAACUAAAUAAUGAGCCUUUUUUUCUGAACAAUCAAGAGGACAAAUGAGCCCUAGAAAAAAAUGGUUUGAAUACCAGAUUGUCUUAUUUAACUUCUCGGCUUGCUGUCACAUCCAGCAUGCAUUGAAAAAAAUUAGCUACUGUGAGGGCAAAAUUGAAAAGCAUGCUAUAUAAGUUGAAAGUUCUGAGACAAAGCAUUACACGAAAGAAAGAAAUUAUUAAAGUUUUGAGAGCUGAAAUUAAAAAUCUUAAACAAAAGUUGCAAACAUUUUAUUACAAUAGGAUAAUAGGCAAUCCUUAAGUUUAAAAAAAAGGCAAUAAAGUUUAAGAACUUAAAAAGCUAAAACAAGUUAAAGUUGGACAUAAUAAAGAUUUUAAUGCAAAUAAAAUGCUGAUAGCUAGUUACAAAAACAAUAUAAUCCAGAUGGAGGAGGAUAACAUUACCAUCGUGAAUAGCUCAGAAAUGAUAAGACUUAUACAUUACAAAUGUAUUAGUGAUAAUUUUGGCAUGUUAUUGGAAAAUGUACCAACAUGUAACAAACCAUUUCUAAUGGAGAAAAUUAUGCCGUAUUUAAGUGUCAUUUUUAAUGAUGUUCCCCAUGAUUGUAUGAUUAAACAAAUGGCUCGUGAGCUUGGCAGUAUAGCAGAUUUGCAAGCAUCAGAAUGGGCUAUCAUUGAUUCACGUAUUACUCUUGUAUUUGAUGCAAAAAUCCAAGAAGGUGUACAUAUUAAUAACAUUCACUUAACAUAACAAAGAAUAAAUGCCAAGUCAUUGCUCUGGAUCAAUUAGCUGGAGGUACAGCUGAUACUUACAAAAAUUAUAUAUGUAAAGCAAUUGAUCAUCUAGCUUUUAUUUAUUCAGAUUUCCACUUCGCUUCUUGUAAUGAUAGCCGUCGAUGGAUCAUCUCAAACAUAUCAAAUGCAAUGUCAGACAGAAUUGCAGUUUACCAUCUUAUUAUAAGCAAACUGUGUGACACUUGGGGGAAAAGUCUGAGCUGCCAUUUACACACUCUUGAUACAAUUGCUACUUCAUGUUUGGCUAUAAUUGUAUGGCAUUUUAAAUUUUUGGCUAUGAACAAGUUGAGUUUUGAACAUGGCAAAUGUGAUCCAAAAGAAUUUAUUAGUUUUUAGAUGAUCAAAUACUACCAUGAUGUAUCAUUUCAAGGUAUCGAGGAAAUUGUCUUCAUAUUCUUUUUCAUUUUUGUUUUAUUUUUAUAAAACAUAAUGAGUUUAAGCAUUUUUUAAUAAUUGGAAUAGUAAAAUGCGGAAUUCUACAUACAGUUCUUAGAGCAGCAUAACGAAACAGUUUAAAAAAAAAAAGUGUGUGCUUGCAUUAUUUGGAAAACCAUCUCCUUAAUAAUCACAUAAAACUUUGUCAUCCAGGAUCCAGCCUAGAUGACAAGGUUUUAUGUGACUGUUGAGGAAGCAAAUUUCGACCAUUUAAGUGAAAUCCAGGUGUUUAUACUAAACACCUGGAUUUAUUUUAAAAUAUAAUAAAAUUUAGAAUCGGCAUUUUUUAGCAAAAUGUUUUGCUAAAAAAUGCAGAUUCUAAAUCAAAUCCUGGUUCAAUUUUUAAAAUGAUCUUGAACCAAAUAUUUUAGAUCCAAUAAAAAAAUUUUGCUUGAUUGAUGAAAACUUUAUCAAGAUGACUUCUGCUUGUCUUAUUGUAGUGGGAGAUGUCAUAAGUCAUUAAUAUAAGAGAUAAAUUUUCCUAUCUAUAAUCCAGACUCUCAAGGAGGAGAUAGCAAGUGCAAGGCUUCACAAUAUAGAUAGUGAAGAGUUAAUAGAAAUGUUUAGUAUAAAAAAUGCAGAUUCUAAAUCAAAUCCUGGUUCAAUUUUUAAAAUGAUCUUGAACCAAAUAUUUUAGAUUCAAUAAAAAAUUUUUGCUUGAUUGAUGAACACUUUAUCAAGAUGACUACUGCUUUUCUUAUUGUAGUGGGAGAUGUCAUAAGUCAUUAAUAUAAGAGAUAAAUUUCCCUAUCUAUAAUCCAGACUCUCAAGGAGGAGAUAGCAAGUGCAAGGCUUCACAAUAUAAAUAGUGAAGAGUUAAUAAAAAUGUUUAGUGAGGCUAAAGAAAGAUCGCCUAAUGCAACAAUUUGUUAUAUUUCAUACAAAUUAGGAUCAAAAAAGAAUCAAACUUUUAAUUACCUAGAUAGUUUAGAUCAAUUAUCUAGAGAAAAUGUAGUUAUGUGUAAAAUGUGGUGUAAAAUGUAGGUAAGUGUAAAAUAAAGUUAGGUGUAAAAUAGUGUAAGAUGUAGUUAGGUGUUAAAUGUGGUGUAUUCAGACAGGCCAUAAAAAGAGGAUGAUAAAUCAAAUAAAGCAUAAUGAUAAACUAGUAGAUAUUUCAAAAAAACAUGCAUGCAAAUGCCAAAAAUAGAAUGAGAAAGACAAAAAAAAGUUAAAAUGACAUUCGCAUGAACUCUCUUACAAUGAAAUAAAGAGUUUAUAUACAUUUUCUACCAAACUACUUGAUGACUAAGGUGAUGUUAUGUCAGAUAGAAUUGUUGGGCAAAAACUCUGCCAUGAAUGGUAUGAUAGUGAGUAUUUGAAGUAUGUCAUGUAUGAUGGUAGAGAAGAAAAACUUAAAAAAAACAAAACAAGGCAAAGUUUGCACUAUUUCUUACUGGAAUAAAGAUAAUACUGAUACUUAAGUUGUUGACUACAACAUGAAAAAGUUACAGCUUGCUGCUGAUGUUGGACCAGGAGAGUUGAUCUUUUUUUGAAGUGUAAUAUGUAACAAAUUAUGAUAAUAUUACUUGUAAUGAUACUUUCAAAAUAGAUACCGCAAGUGAUGAAACUUGUAAAACAAAUACCGCAUGUGAUGAAACUUAUAUAAAAGUUUAUCGCAAGUUAUAAAACUUGAAAAGAUAGUCAUAUCAAGUCCGGUAUGCCAGGUAUUAAACCAUUUGUUUUUGUUUCAUAAGUUUUAGAGUAGAAUAAAAGUAUUUAACUUGGACCACAAGUGACAAGUGACAAGACCACAAGUGUUAUGACUUGCAAAAUGUUUUGAAAGGCGGCUUAUCUUAUCAUAAGACUAAUAUUUUGGAAAUGAAAUAUACUUAUUUAUUUUGUUUGUUAAAGAUACAAUUAUUUUUAAGAAUUCAACAUCUUUUUAUUUUAGGAUGUAGGUAAUCAUCACCACCCUAUUCAACAAACUUCUCAACUUAACCAAAAUUUACAAAAGGACUUUUUUUUUCAAAAGUAGGAUUGGUUGUGGUCUUCAACUUUACCUUCUAGGUUAUACCUAGUGUCAAAAGCCUAAUUCAGAUUGCUAUUGUAUCUAAAUGGUGUCAUUUAAAGUGACUUGAACAAGACAAGGUGUCCUCUGAUACUGUUUCUUUAGAUUGAGUCAAAAGAAAAGUUAUGAGAUGGCCAAAGAAAGCAGCUGAAGUAAAAGUAAAGUGAGCAGGUCAACUCUCACGUGCUGGUGGAAAAUUACCAAAACAAAUGUUAAGGACUUAAUUCAUAAUGGCAAACAAAGAAUACACGAAUUAUUUAAGAUAUGGUUGAAAUUUGGAAAGAAAGUAAAAAUCAAACUAGUUUUGCUCUAAAUUAUUGUAUAUAAUUUUAAAAUUUUGAAACAGAAGUAUUGCAAGUUUUUUGUUUUUUUUUAGUUUAUUCAUUUACUAAUAUAAUUAUCGUAUAUGCCCUUAAUAAAUGAAAGGAAAAAAGAACUUCACAGGUAGUGUUAUACAGUGUAAAAUUGUGCUUUAUUUAUCUUUACAGCGUAGGAAUAACAUCGUGAAAAUGUUAGAAGAACGUUGGGGGACGUUUUUACGAUGUUUGCCCAACGUCGUCAAAAUAACAUUGCAAUCAUUUUUUGUUUUGUUUGAAGCUUUAACCAACUGAGCUAUCUAGCCACAAUAACGUUAUCAAAAUGACGUUUUUCCGCUGUUUCAUUUAUAACAUCAUACCAACGCCUUUCCAACGAUACGAAAUAUGUUGGAACAACGUUGCUCAUAAUAUUUCUUAUUGGGUGUAUACAAGGCUCCUGUUUCAUUCACAGACGCACUGAUAAACAAUAGAAUGUUUACAAUACUUCUUUGUUCUAAAAGAUGUUAGAUUUAGUUUUCCAUCGUAUAUAUUUCUAGUAGAGUAGGAAUGUACUAGUCUACUCUCUGUAAACAAGAUUGUAAUGGAAAAUGGUAAAUUUUUAUUUAAGUAGUCAAAAGCAAAGAGAAGAUUAGCUUUACUAGCGCUGGAAAUGUUGAAACGUUAAGUUUUUUGAAGAACUAGUUAGAAAUAGUUACCAAAUUGACCCCAAACUUGACAGCAGUAGUUAAGAUAAGAUGAGAAUAAUGUAUAGUAAGCAAUCUUAAGUGUAACUUUAACAACAUAAUGACGAAUUAUUGUCGCCACAAAAGUGAAGCAAUCACUGUUCCGGGAGUAGGAUCAAUUGUCGCCAGAAGGCCUGCGGCCCAUCGCUGAAAAUUUCAAGACGCGUUUGGGCUUAUGUAUCGCCGCGGGAGUAGGCCACUUUGAAACCGGCUGAUUAUAUUAUUGCGGAAGGUCCAUAUUGUUGUUAUUCAUCGCUGUUUUACUUAGUUUUUGUUGGUUUAAUAAAAAAUGAUUAAAAA